UUACGGCCACAUCACGUUGAAAUACCGGUUCCCGUACGUUCACCGAAGUUAAGCAACGUCGAGCUUGAUCAGUACUUAGAUGAAUAACUGUUUGGGAAUACCAGGUGCUGCAAG
Non-coding RNA from Acanthosepion pharaonis, 114 nucleotides. NCBI's taxonomy places the organism in Eukaryota, Metazoa, Mollusca, Cephalopoda, Sepiida, Sepiidae. The record is from the annotation of a GenBank genome assembly.